RNAcentral lists this ribosomal RNA (1455 nucleotides) under Escherichia coli. RNAcentral describes it as "bacterial SSU rRNA". It matches the Rfam family "Bacterial small subunit ribosomal RNA". The record is from RNAcentral. Lineage: Bacteria; Pseudomonadati; Pseudomonadota; Gammaproteobacteria; Enterobacterales; Enterobacteriaceae.
GAGUGGCGGACGGGUGAGUAAUGUCUGGGAAACUGCCUGAUGGAGGGGGAUAACUACUGGAAACGGUAGCUAAUACCGCAUAACGUCGCAAGACCAAAGAGGGGGACCUUAGGGCCUCUUGCCAUCGGAUGUGCCCAGAUGGGAUUAGCUAGUAGGUGGGGUAACGGCUCACCUAGGCGACGAUCCCUAGCUGGUCUGAGAGGAUGACCAGCCACACUGGAACUGAGACACGGUCCAGACUCCUACGGGAGGCAGCAGUGGGGAAUAUUGCACAAUGGGCGCAAGCCUGAUGCAGCCAUGCCGCGUGUAUGAAGAAGGCCUUCGGGUUGUAAAGUACUUUCAGCGGGGAGGAAGGGAGUAAAGUUAAUACCUUUGCUCAUUGACGUUACCCGCAGAAGAAGCACCGGCUAACUCCGUGCCAGCAGCCGCGGUAAUACGGAGGGUGCAAGCGUUAAUCGGAAUUACUGGGCGUAAAGCGCACGCAGGCGGUUUGUUAAGUCAGAUGUGAAAUCCCCGGGCUCAACCUGGGAACUGCAUCUGAUACUGGCAAGCUUGAGUCUCGUAGAGGGGGGUAGAAUUCCAGGUGUAGCGGUGAAAUGCGUAGAGAUCUGGAGGAAUACCGGUGGCGAAGGCGGCCCCCUGGACGAAGACUGACGCUCAGGUGCGAAAGCGUGGGGAGCAAACAGGAUUAGAUACCCUGGUAGUCCACGCCGUAAACGAUGUCGACUUGGAGGUUGUGCCCUUGAGGCGUGGCUUCCGGAGCUAACGCGUUAAGUCGACCGCCUGGGGAGUACGGCCGCAAGGUUAAAACUCAAAUGAAUUGACGGGGGCCCGCACAAGCGGUGGAGCAUGUGGUUUAAUUCGAUGCAACGCGAAGAACCUUACCUGGUCUUGACAUCCACGGAAGUUUUCAGAGAUGAGAAUGUGCCUUCGGGAACCGUGAGACAGGUGCUGCAUGGCUGUCGUCAGCUCGUGUUGUGAAAUGUUGGGUUAAGUCCCGCAACGAGCGCAACCCUUAUCCUUUGUUGCCAGCGGUCCGGCCGGGAACUCAAAGGAGACUGCCAGUGAUAAACUGGAGGAAGGUGGGGAUGACGUCAAGUCAUCAUGGCCCUUACGACCAGGGCUACACACGUGCUACAAUGGCGCAUACAAAGAGAAGCGACCUCGCGAGAGCAAGCGGACCUCAUAAAGUGCGUCGUAGUCCGGAUUGGAGUCUGCAACUCGACUCCAUGAAGUCGGAAUCGCUAGUAAUCGUGGAUCAGAAUGCCACGGUGAAUACGUUCCCGGGCCUUGUACACACCGCCCGUCACACCAUGGGAGUGGGUUGCAAAAGAAGUAGGUAGCUUAACCUUCGGGAGGGCGCUUACCACUUUGUGAUUCAUGACUGGGGUGAAGUCGUAACAAGGUAACCGUAGGGGAACCUGCGGUUGGAUCACCUCCUUACCUUAAAGAAGC